RNAcentral lists this transfer RNA (73 nucleotides) under Stegodyphus mimosarum. It matches the Rfam family "tRNA". Rfam says of the family: Transfer RNA (tRNA) molecules are approximately 80 nucleotides in length. Their secondary structure includes four short double-helical elements and three loops (D, anti-codon, and T loops). The record is from Rfam by way of RNAcentral. Lineage: Eukaryota; Metazoa; Arthropoda; Arachnida; Araneae; Eresidae.
GCCUUCGUGGUGUAACAGUCAGCACACUCGACACGUAUUCGAGAGGUCCAGGGUUCGAUUCCCGGCGAAGGCA